CAUUUAGGGACGACAUCAAAAAAUCAAUGAAGGAUAAAAAACUUAAUUCAAAUAGUUAGGGGUGGGGGGGGGGUCAAAUUGCUGCAAGUUUUGUAUAAAUUGACAUCGAUUUUACAUAUAUCCUUAUUGGUCAAUCAAUUUUUCCCAAAUUAAGUUAAGAAGGGGGGGGGGGGGGUAGGGGGGUCAGUGAAAAAACUAUAUAAAUUAAGUGUUUUAUCCUUCAUUGAACUUUUGAUGUCGUCCCUUAUGAAGAUAUGCUUGCAUGAACUGUUCUGACAUGUUUGUUUAUUUACACAACCAAUGUCAAGAAUAACAGGUAUGAUACGUUACCGUUAGGUGUUUUU
This 344-nucleotide long non-coding RNA is filed under the name Mytilus galloprovincialis (Mediterranean mussel). Lineage: Eukaryota; Metazoa; Mollusca; Bivalvia; Mytilida; Mytilidae. The record is from RNAcentral.